AUACUUACCUGGCAGGGGAGAUACCAUGAUCACGAAGGUGGUUUUCCCAGGGCGAGGCUUAUCCAUUGCACUUGCUGACCUUUUAAUCCACCUCUUCUGUUGGUCUUUCCAUUUGGACAAGGACAAAAAUUUACUUAUUUAUCCUUC
Molecule: small nuclear RNA, 147 nt
Filed under: Propithecus coquereli (Coquerel's sifaka)
Lineage: Eukaryota; Metazoa; Chordata; Mammalia; Primates; Indriidae
Description: U1 spliceosomal RNA (ENSPCOG00000025406.1)
Rfam family: U1 spliceosomal RNA
About the family: U1 is a small nuclear RNA (snRNA) component of the spliceosome (involved in pre-mRNA splicing). Its 5' end forms complementary base pairs with the 5' splice junction, thus defining the 5' donor site of an intron.
Source: RNAcentral